GUGGGGAAUAUUGGACAAUGGGGGGAACCCUGAUCCAGCCAUGCCGCGUGUGUGAAGAAGGCCUUUUGGUUGUAAAGCACUUUAAGCGAGGAGGAGGCUACCGAGAUUAAUACUCUUGGAUAGUGGACGUUACUCGCAGAAUAAGCACCGGCUAACUCUGUGCCAGCAGCCGCGGUAAUACAGAGGGUGCAAGCGUUAAUCGGAUUUACUGGGCGUAAAGCGCGCGUAGGUGGUCAAUUAAGUCAAAUGUGAAAUCCCCGUGCGUAACUGGGGGAUUGCAUUCUAUACUGGUUGGCUAGAGUAUGGGAGAGGAUGGUAGAAUUCCAGGUGUAGCGGUGAAAUGCGUAGAGAUCUGGAGGAAUACCGAUGGCGAAGGCAGCCAUCUGGCCUAAUACUGACACUGAGGUGCGAAAGCAUGGGGAGCAAACAGGAUUAGAAACCCGGGUAGUCC
This 451-nucleotide ribosomal RNA is filed under the name uncultured bacterium. RNAcentral's name for it is "partial 16S ribosomal RNA". It matches the Rfam family "Bacterial small subunit ribosomal RNA", at positions 354 to 796 of the family's 1533-position model. The record is from RNAcentral.